Sebastes umbrosus (honeycomb rockfish) is the source of this 732-nucleotide long non-coding RNA. RefSeq lists it as uncharacterized. NCBI's taxonomy places the organism in Eukaryota, Metazoa, Chordata, Actinopteri, Perciformes, Sebastidae. The record is from RefSeq and is a predicted model, not a curated record. The transcript is spliced from 2 exons.
UUAACCGGGCUGACGUCCUGUGUGUGCUUGUUUAGGGGGUGAAAGAGAGAGAGAGUGUAACGCAGAUGACAACAGGCAUGUUAUCCACAACUUUAGUCGUAGUAAGAGUUAUCGUGGCUCAUUAGCACAUUCGCACGGCUAACUAGCACGUUAGCUAACAUUAGCAUGGCAACGUUCCGUUCCUGCCAUAGCUAGGUCCGAUUAGCUUCCUACGAGGGAAGUUUAGCCAUAUCUUUGUCUACGAAUAUAACAGAACAACAACAGUUGUUCCGACAGACUGAAGGGAUGUUUAUCUUGCUCCUCUACCAUCCUCUUCGCACCGGGACGAGGUGGCCGAGUGGUUAAGGCGAUGGACUGCUAAUCCAUUGUGCUCUGCACGCGUGGGUUCGAAUCCCAUCCUCGUCGAUAUCUUUUCACGUUAUCAAUAUUUAUCCUAUUAAAACAGUGUAGUACGGCUUCGUGUUUUACUAUAUUUUAUGUAUGAUCAUAUUUAAUUGAUAUUUUGUUGACAGUAAACGGCAGCGUUUCUCUUUGGUAGACCAGCUGUUUACACAUUCAAGAUCAGCUCUCCUGGGAACCAGCAGGGCAUCGUGAUCCUCCUGCAGCUCCGUAAUGACUCCCGUCCGGUCCAGGAGAGAGGUGGAUCGACUCUGCCUGUCCUCCCGUGAGGUCGUCUGUGGCUCGGCUGCUUGUUGUCUACGAGCGAGAAACAGGAAAUGAAGUGGAAUACAA